CCUACGGGAGGCAGCAGUGGGGAAUAUUGGACAAUGGGGGCAACCCUGAUCCAGCCAUGCCGCGUGUGUGAAGAAGGCCCUCGGGUUGUAAAGCACUUUCAGUGAGGAAGAACGCCUGGUGGUUAAUACCCAUCAGGAAAGACAUCACUCACAGAAGAAGCACCGGCUAACUCCGUGCCAGCAGCCGCGGUAAUACGGAGGGUGCUAGCGUUAAUCGGAAUUACUGGGCGUAAAGCGCGCGUAGGUGGCUUGAUAAGCUGGUUGUGAAAGCCCCGGGCUCAACCUGGGAACGGCAUCCGGAACUGUCAAGCUAGAGUGCAGGAGAGGAAGGUAGAAUUCCCGGUGUAGCGGUGAAAUGCGUAGAGAUCGGGAGGAAUACCAGUGGCGAAGGCGGCCUUCUGGACUGAAACUGACACUGAGGUGCGAAAGCGUGGGUAGCAAACAGGAUUAGAUACCCCGGUAGUC
This 465-nucleotide ribosomal RNA is filed under the name Vreelandella stevensii. Its description in RNAcentral is "partial 16S ribosomal RNA". It matches the Rfam family "Bacterial small subunit ribosomal RNA", at positions 338 to 795 of the family's 1533-position model. The record is from RNAcentral. Lineage: Bacteria; Pseudomonadati; Pseudomonadota; Gammaproteobacteria; Oceanospirillales; Halomonadaceae.